Molecule: ribosomal RNA, 3333 nt
Filed under: Triticum aestivum (bread wheat)
Lineage: Eukaryota; Viridiplantae; Streptophyta; Magnoliopsida; Poales; Poaceae
Description: partial small subunit ribosomal RNA
Source: RNAcentral
AUGGCGUCGGCGACUCCGGCAGGCGGCGGCGAGGGCAUCCACGGCGGCGGUGAGAUGCCGUUCUGGCCUCCUAGCGGAACGGCUGGCGUCGACGGCGAUGGCGGCGACGACUCCAGCUCCGCGUACUCGACCGACGAUGUGGAGGAGUCGAUUGAUGGAAACCCAAGGAUUAAUGCAUAUGAUUGUUUGUAUCACAUUGAAAAUCCAUCUUUAGGAGAGAAAGGGCUGGAUUUGGUAGACAGUCAUGCAGAAUUACAGAAGAUAAAGAGGAAGAUCCAGGACAAAUUGGUGCUUGAUUUGCUAGUCAGGGCUUGUCCACCCCCUGAUACUGAUUUUGAGUUGCAGCAAUGUGAAAUGCCAGAGUUGUCCACUGUGGUGUACCAAGAGCCUGUUGUUUUCGAUUUGAGUGAGCCUCCUGUCUUAGCUGUUGAUCAGCAAGGAGUAGUUUUUGAGAGUCAAUGUAGCAACUCUAGCACACCUCAUCCUGCUGGUGUUUGCACACAAGAAAGCAAGAAUGCAACAGCCAAGUUGAAAGCAGUUUUGGAAGAAGAAGAGGGAUAUCAAGGAUUUGAGGCAUAUGAGGACAGUGAUGCUAAUGCCUCUGAUGAGGAUGCUCAAAUUGGAAAUGACCAUCAUUACAUGCGUGACGAUGAAGAUGUAGAGGUGGAAGAGGGAAAGAGACAGAGAGAGCUAGAAGUACAAGAGGAAGAAUCAGAUGAUGAGCAAUCAGAAGAGGAAGAAAUGCUGCAUUAUGAGGGUGACACUGAAGUUGAGGAACCAUUUGAGGUAGAGGAAGAUAGGACUUUUGAAGAAGAAGAAGAAACUAUAGUUGAACCUGUGAAGAAGAAGCAGAAGCUACCAGUUAGAAGAGGACCAACAGCUAGGUCACAUUGUAGUAAGCUACCAGAGGUUGAACCUGAUUUCAGACCAUCAUCAGAUGAAAAAGAGAAGGGGUUGUUGAGGGAGAGUGAUGAUGAUGGUUUUGAGCCAGCCUCUUUUGUCCUACCAAAGAAAAGGAAGAGUAGGGCAAAGAAAAGGCCUGCUAGGAAGUGGUACAAUGAGAAAAUGGAGCAACCACAUGAGCAACUGUGUAUGAAGUUGUGUUUUAGGGAUCAGCAUCAAUUCAGAGAUGCUUUGUUGAAUUUGCACAUCACUCAGGCCAGGAAUUUUAAGUAUCACGGGAAUUCAGAUCAGAGGAUAAUUGUUGAGUGUCCAGAUAAACAAUGCCAGUUCUUUAUGGUGGCGGCAGUUAUAAAAGGGGAGAAAACCUUUGUAAUUAAGAAGAUGAGACUAGAGCACACUUGCCCUAGUACCACUGAGACCACCAGGGUUAGUGCUAAGUGGCUAGCACAGAAAUAUGAGCAUCUCUUCAGAUCUGAUAUAACUACUGGUAUUCAGACAAUAAUUGAUGCAUGCAUGGAAAAAUAUGGUGUAGAUGUGCCCAAGUGCAUGGCAUAUAGGGCAAAGAACAUAGCUAUUGAAGCUGUCUUAGGAGAUCACAAGAAGCAAUAUCCUAGGCUUAAAGACUAUGCUCAGACUGUCAUGGACACAAACCCUGGGAGUAGAGUAAUAGUCACUACUGUUACUCCAGUACCAAAUGCAAAAAUACCCCACCCAGGCCCAAGAUUCCAUGCCAUGUUCUUUUGCCUGAAUGGAGCAAGGGAGGGGUUUCUCAAUGGGUGUAGGCCAUUCAUUGGUGGAGAAGUGGGCAAGUUUGGACCUUAUACUAUAAUGUCAGAUAGACAAAAGGGGUUAUUGAAUGCAGUGAAUGCUGUCUUUCCAAAUUGCAACCAAAGAUUCUGCCUUAGGCAUUUAUAUGCAAAUUUCCAAAAUGCUGGGUUUAGGGGUGAAGAUCUUAAGAAGUGCAUGGAUAAUGCUAGCUAUGCCUACAAUGAACACAAAUUUAAUAUUGCAAUGAAUGAUCUUAGAGUUGAAAUGAACAACUUGUCUGAGGUGUUCAACAAGUACAUUCUAGAUGUUAGGAGAAAACCUAUAAGGACAAUGUGUGAUGGGAUAAAAGAUAAGCAGAUGGUGAGGUGGCAUAGGAACAGAGAGAGUGUAAAGGCAGCAAGAUGGGAUAUAACACCUCAUUACAGUGAGAAGCUAGAGGUUGAGAAGGAGAGGGCCAGAUAUUGCAAGCCAAUACAGGCAGGGGUCAACUUAUGGCAAGUUACAAGUGGGCAGCAAACACAUGCUGUCAACCUGGAACUUGAGACUUGUGGAUGCAAGAAGUGGGACCUUAGUGGCAUACCUUGCAACCAUGCCAUCUCUGCAAUAAACAAGGCUAAAAGGAAACCAGAGGAUUAUGUCAGCAAAUUCUUCAAGAAAGAUUUUUAUGCUGCAGCUUAUGAACCAAUGAUCUUUCCUGUGCCUGGUGAGCAUGAUUGGACAAGUACCCCUGGUCCAGACAUAGAACCACCUGCAUUCAAAAUCAAGAGAGGAAGAAAGAAAGAAAAGAGGAUCAAGGGAAAAUUUGAAGUACCAAAGCCAAAAGACACUUCAAGAAUGGGGACCAUAACAUGUGGCAAUUGUGGUCUCCAAGGGCAUAGCCAAGAGCUGCUGGUCCUUCUACUACAACAACAGCAAGACAGCCAAGAGCUGCUGCCAGAGGAGCUGCCAGAGGAAGAGGAGCUGCUACUUCUAAUACACCACCACCAUCUGGAAGAGGAAGAGGAAGAGGAGCUGCUACUUCUACUACACCACCACCAUCUGGAAGAGGAGCUGGCAGAGGAAGAGGAGCUGGAAGAGGUGCUCCAAGGCCAUUCAGUGCCCCCAGGCAAUAUGAUGACAUUCCUACUGAUGGUACACACACUGGAUGGAUGUCCAACUUCACUGCUAGCAGAGGAAGAGGAGCCAUGAAGGAGGGGGGAGGAGGCGCGCUCGCCGGUGCGCUACCGCGAGCUCCCAAUGGCAUACGAGCCUCCAGUGAUGUGCCACUGCUCACCUCCGAGGAAGGCGCCAAGAUGGAUCUCCUGGAGCAGGCAGAACCCUGGUAGGAGGUACUAUAGCUGCGUGGAUGCUAUGCACGGUGGAUGUGGAUUUGUGCAAUGGCAUGAUGAUCCAUUGCCCACAUUCUGGAGUGAGCUCAUUGGGGAUCUACGUGAUGAAGUAUGGAGGCUUAAAGGUGCAACUGUUGCUGGAGAGGAAGAUCAAUUUCCAAUGCUGACUCCAAGUGAAGAUGAUGGCACAAGGGAGGCCAUGUUUCUGUCUCUGCAAACUCAACUCAGAGAGAAGAAUGCAGAGAUUGUAGGGAUUAGGGCCAAAUUUCACAAUGUGUUGUUUCUUUUCACUAUAUUUGUGCUUGGGUUAGUUGCAGGCAAGAUAUUAAGUUAG